GAUGAACGCUGGCGGCGUGCUUAACACAUGCAAGUCGAACGGAAAGGCCCAAGCUUGCUUGGGUACUCGAGUGGCGAACGGGUGAGUAACACGUGGGUGAUCUGCCCUGCACUUCGGGAUAAGCCUGGGAAACUGGGUCUAAUACCGGAUAGGACGAUGGUUUGGAUGCCAUUGUGGAAAGUUUUUUCGGUGUGGGAUGAGCUCGCGGCCUAUCAGCUUGUUGGUGGGGUAAUGGCCUACCAAGGCGUCGACGGGUAGCCGGCCUGAGAGGGUGUACGGCCACAUUGGGACUGAGAUACGGCCCAGACUCCUACGGGAGGCAGCAGUGGGGAAUAUUGCACAAUGGGCGCAAGCCUGAUGCAGCGACGCCGCGUGGGGGAUGAAGGCCUUCGGGUUGUAAACUCCUUUCGCUAGGGACGAAGCGUUUUUGUGACGGUACCUGGAGAAGAAGCACCGGCUAACUACGUG
Molecule: ribosomal RNA, 468 nt
Filed under: uncultured bacterium
Lineage: Bacteria
Description: partial 16S ribosomal RNA
Rfam family: Bacterial small subunit ribosomal RNA
Source: RNAcentral